This is a long non-coding RNA of Lingula anatina, 255 nucleotides long. Lineage: Eukaryota; Metazoa; Brachiopoda; Lingulata; Lingulida; Lingulidae. The record is from RefSeq and is a predicted model, not a curated record.
AUAGAGUGAUAAAAUAUAUUGAAAACAAUUCAUUUCGUCUUCUCCAAGUGCAGCGGAAAUUGAUUGAGGAAACAAUGAAACACCCAAGUCGCAUAAUGCUGGGCAGCACAGAUGAACUACAACUUUUGCAAAAUUUAGUUUCUCUAAUAAAAGGAAGGAAAACAUUGGACAUUGGAGUGUUCACAGGUUAUAGUGCAUUGGCUAUAGCACUAGUACUUCCUGAAGAUGGGAGGGUAGUGGCCUGUGAUGUCAGUG